Molecule: long non-coding RNA, 29537 nt
Filed under: Xyrichtys novacula (pearly razorfish)
Lineage: Eukaryota; Metazoa; Chordata; Actinopteri; Labriformes; Labridae
Source: RNAcentral
UUGCUUUAAAGUCAACAUUAUUGUUAAGUUAUGUGGAGUUGGGAGAGAGAAGUGUGACUGGCUGGUUGAGGUGACCCGUGGCAAGAGAGCAAAUAGAGGAAGAAUAAAAGAUAUGGAGGGGAUAUGAGCACUCGAAGGACAGAUUAUGAAGAUGUAUGCAAGGGAGGAGUGAACACAAGGGGGAAAGACAGAGCAGUGAGAGAAUGAAGGUUAGACUAAUGAAUGGAUAUACUGGAAAAGGCAGAAAGAAGGAGAUAAGAAAGAGGGAAUAGAGAGGAGAUGGUGAUUAGGUGAAGACUGUGCCAAUGCCAAGGGAUAUUCAAAUUAAAAAAAAUGUUUGGUCUUAGGAAAAAUGAAGAAGGUCUCUAUGUGUGACCUCGGGCUACUAUCCUGUAGCUGCAGUAAGUAGCUACAUGAAAUUCAAGAUGUUUGACAGGAGUGCAGAUACACACACAAAAACACACACAAACACAUGAUUAGUGUCAGGAAAGAUGAUCUGAUGUAGGUGCACGGUCAGCAAGACUCAUUACACAUGAGCUGGAUUGAUCAGUUGGUCUGCGCAAUGAUUAGAUAAGAUGCAGGAGGUGUGUGUGUGUGUGUGUGUGUGUGUGUGUGUGUGUGUGUGUGUGUGUGUGUGUGUGUGUGUGUGUGUGUGUGUGUGUGUGUGUGUGUGUGUGAUCUCUGCUGCAGUCUCAAAGACAGUAGCCUCAUAGCCCCCAGCUGUGGCCUGACCUUUUCACUAAUUGACUCUAAUCAAUUGAGCUCAUUCCUUUCUAUCAAGCUCUUCUAAGGGGGAAUGAUGCUCCUCUCUCCUCACUGCAUGCUCCUAUUAAGCCUUUAAAGAGGUGAACCACCUCUCUCAUGUUUCAUAUGUAUUCCUACUUCAUAAAACUUAAGCGCUUCAACUUCGUAAACUAGAAUUUAAAUGUGAAUGUAGCAUGCAAUUAAGAAUAUCUUCACAUUGUGCCUGCCUUCUGCCUCUUUUUAAUUUAUAUUCUAACUCUUCUUCUUGGAUAAAUGAGUUUGCAGUCCAUCUAUUCAAAAGGGAGUGACUAUAAUUACAGUUAAGAUAAAGGGUUGCUUCUUAUCUCAUUCAAGUCAAGAAGUCUGCCCUGUUGCUGUUAUUUUUGAGAAAUGCUCUUGCUAAAUCCUUUCAAUGUGUAACUCAGUUAUCAGGACAAGCUCAAUCCAAAUUUUGCAGCUAAGUAUGACCAUACUUUUAUUAAUCGUAAAAACUUAAAAGUGUCACUUUGUUCUCAUCCCAAGCACAUAAAAAUCUGAGUUCAUACCGAUACAGGCAGAACUCUUGUUUUGUUUUCUGUCCCUGUAUUUCAGAUAAACUUUUCAUCAAAAUGUUAUCUUAACGAGGUUAACAUAGAAUUGGCUGCAGUCUCAUGAGGUUUAGAAAAAUAUGAUGGCUGGAGUUAAAAUAACUUAACACAUUCUUUUGAUUCCAAACAAGACAUGAUUCUGUGACUGGACUUACCAAAACUGGGACUCAGGCCCUGUUUAUACGUACCCGGUUAUUUAAAAUAAAAACAGAGACUUUAACCAUCGUUUGCACCCUUUGUUUGGACACAAACAGAGAAUUCGCCCCUGAAAAUGAUGCUUUUUAAAAACUACAGCCAAAGUGGAGAUUUUGGAAAAAUUUGUUUGCACGUUUGCAUGUAAACAGAGAAAAACUGAGAUUUGGGUAGCCGAUGGCAGAUUGUGCCCUGGAAACUGGGUUAAACGUGACUUUGUUUACAGUUUAAAGUCUAUGAUUACAAUUUAUGGUGAUCAUGGAUGCAAGCAGAAUAGCAGUCACGUUUAUGCUGGUGCAAUGCCUUUGUAUUUGUUUGCAUUUGCAGAUGCAAGUGCUGUACUAUGAGGAAGAGCAGCAGGAUUCUGCUAACGUGGGCUUGAGCUUCUCACUACACUGUCACCUACAGGUUUGGCAUACUCUUGACGGCAAAUAUACACAGGUUAGUGUAAACGAAAACUUUUCUGAAAAAAAAAAAAAAGAAAAUCCAUCCCAUGUUGCACACAAUAAGGGUCAAAAACUAAUUCAAUAUGUGCACCUGGAUCAGAUCAGCUUGAGUCUUGGCAUUGUGCACCCAGCAAGACCAGGCAGUGUGGCCCUCCCUAUAAUACAUGGGUAGACUAUAAAUGAAUACAUACAGAUUUUAGCCUCAUCACUACCUUGUGAUGUUCAUUUCAUUCAUUUUCUACUUCAUACCUUGUUUGAAAUAUUUUACAUUUUAUCACACAACAAACAAUUUCUAAGCUUUUUUUGUUACAUUUGUAAAAUGCACAAUUUCUUUUUACAUAUUUCUGAAUUUUGUACAAAUAUAUGUAUUAUUUGUACCUUUUACUUUACAGCUGUUUAUUUAUCUUUCUCCUUUAAAAAUAUAAUACAUAUCUUUUAUAAGAGCACUUACAAUGCCAGAAUUUCUGGGCUAGUUCUGUUAUUCUGAAUGCUCAGCCUGAUAUUUGGCACAAAGAAAAAAAAAUCAAGCUGAUCUGCACCAAAAUGCUUUGCAACUGUUAUCUAAACUUCUGUAAAUAAUCACAAGCACAAAAAGGGGUGCAUUUCUAUAGUUUACUUCACAUAUCAGGAUUAGGAAUCAUUGGAGCCAAUAACUGAAUAUCCUUGUAGUGUGGCAUUUGAGUCUGUUAUAUGCACUCCUUUAAAGAAACCAUCAGUUGUAUUGUUUAGAACGGAUUUAUACAAUAGUGUGGAUUUAAAUGUAGGAUGUUAUCAGCCUGUGAAGUUCAGGUUGUGUUACUCAGACUACUACUUCUAUUUUGCAGAGACAGUACAAGACAGCAGGGUUUCCCGGACACUGUUUUCUUCAUUUAUGCAUCAGCUACAUCUUCAGACACUAAUCUGUUCAGCACAUCAGCAGUACUGGUACUACUGAUUGAUUGAUGGGGUGUGUACUUUCCACAAGACAAAUGCUUCAGUUUCACUAGAUCUAACUAGAAAUGAGUUUGGCCAAACUUAAGCAAAUGUUCUCAUACAGAAGGAGGUGGGGUCUGAAAGACCCUUCGUACUCCCUUUCUUUCCCCUUUAAAACAAACACACACACGCACACACACAAACUGUGCACGCACACACACACAAACUGUGUACGCAGUGACAUUCACAGCACUGGUUCUCACACUGGGAGCCACUCAAUCCCAGAUCAAUACACAGCUUUCUCUUCAAUAAUACACACACACACACACACACACACACACACACACACACACAGACACACACACACACACACACACACACACACACACACACACACACACACACACACACACACACACACUUUGCUCUAUCCAGUCCUAAUGGUCUGGAAGUCUCCCGUCCUCCAUUUCCUUCGUGUUUCUCUCCUUUUUCCUGUCUCUCAUCUGUUCCUUUUGCUUCUAGUCUUUUACUGUACAAUGUUUAUCUUUUCAUUUUGAAAUGGGAGUGUGUUUUGGUUUUUUUUUUUGUGUGUGUGCUUGUUUUUACUUCUAUGCUAAAUGCAGAUUUUAGCAUUUACAUUUAAUCCUAAAGCGACAAAACUACUGAGUGCACCCCUGUUGCAGUCAAGGUACACUCCUCAGCCACAGGGGACACAAAUAAUGAACAGGAGGCUGCUGGUCUUUGUGUUUCUCUGUGUGGGUCUGUGGGUUUUAAAUCUGAAGUAUAUGCAGUAUAUAUCUUAAAAAGUAUAGAACAAGUGUGCAUGUCUUGUUGUACUUGUUGAAGUGUGAGCAUGAGUUCAAAGUGAUGAUCAUAAGUAAAAGAUGAAACUGAGCUAGUUUAGGAUGGAAAAUGUUAAGUCCAAUAUCCUCUGUGCAAAUGUGUGUAUGUGUGUGUGGGUUCAUGUCUGUGUUUGUGAAUAGAGGAUAAGUAUUAGGUGGCUGUGAUUAAUUUCCCUCCAAAGCUGUAGCUCUAAUUCCCGGCUGAGGUGGGAAUGGUCCCUGAAAUGGUCCCAGUGGAAAUCACAGCAGGCAGGCAGGCAGACAGCAGCUUUGAGGAACACUGAUGAAUUAUCCAUAGAGGGAGAGAGGGUGGGGGUGAGAUAGGAGGAGAGGUUAGAGAGAGAGCGCAGUGAAGGCAGGCAGGCAGGAAGGAAGUUCUGCAAAGAUGAAGCUCAGAGACUGUGUGAAAAGCUGGAGAGAAAGGGAAGGAUUGUAAAUACAGGAGGAAAGGUAAGGGAGAGCGCAAGAAAUAUCAUUAAAAAUUUCACAGAGAAGACAAGAAAUGUUUGCAGAGGGCCAGAGACAAGAGUGUAUGAAUACUCACAAACAAGCAAAAAGUCAUUUACACUUACUAGCCUUUUAGAAUUUUGUGUAAUUUUUUUUAACUUUAACAAUUAACACAACAGCUUGGAAACAGAAAAGAUUUUUGGAGUAAUUCUUUAAGACCCAAAACAAAGAUGUUUGCUCUAAAUCAGAAUUAAGAUUAACUCUCAAAUUCAGCAAACUCUUGUCAGCUGCCAGACCCUCAAAAGACAAUUUAUUUGCACAAAAAAAACAAAAAACAUUUUGACUGUGAAGAAGUGUAAGGGGUUGGUUUGCAAUCUGACCCUUGAUUUGUAAUAUGAAAAGAAAUGUUUUACAAUUAAACCUUAGUUAGAAUUUUGCAAGAAUCAUGGGGAGAGCAUGUCAAAAGUGAUGCAGCAUUUACUUCAACACAACGCAGAUUUUAGGGGAAUGCACUGUAUUGGAUGCUAUUUGGAAGCAGCAGCAAUGUCUCAUCAUAUUCAGGUACAAAACACAGAUUAUUUGUAUUAAGGUAAAUCAAGUAUGUCCACAAAUACUUGAAAGACAUUUUUGUUAGGGUUAGGGUUAGGGUGGGGAUUUUGCAGUCUGUGGCACUUUUUGUGCCCCCUGUGGGCAAAGCAGUCCUUGCUUAUCCUGUUCUCUACACACAGACAAAAAAAAAUCAUCCUGCUGACUGUUGGCAGUCUUACACUGCUUUCAGGCAAUUCAAAUUACAAAAGAAAAUGUGUCAGUUUUGUAGCUAAUGGUCUUGUUGCAUUAAAAUUGUCAUGAAAAAUCAAUAAUAUAAAUUUUGGUCUAUUCCAUAAAUGUCAAAAUCUCCUCGCAGGAGCUUGAAGUUAGGACAGUGAACCUCCACCAUAGAUUGUACACAGAAUGGACGCUGUCUGCCUCCUGGCUGGAUGAAGCCACUGCGAGAACAGCACCCUCUGUUGAUGGGCUGCAGUAUAGGUCAUAAAUCCUGCCUCCUCCAGCAAUCACUAUGGAGCUGUGGACAAACUUUAGAAAUUAAUUACACAGAAUAUAAAUUUUUCUCCCCCCUGGUUUUGAUGUUGACAUGUAGUUACUGUAAGACUGGUUUGUGCUCAAGUCCUCUUUUUUCUGUGCAGCUCUGUUUUUAAAAGUUAUUAGGGGGUUUAUGUUUUCUGUGAUUGACACUUGAUACAGCCUAUGGGUGUACGAAGAUUGCGUAGCUUACCCAGGGAAAACGCUGUUUGAGCCGAGCAUCAUCACACUGACUGUUAGCGAUUCUUCCGCCGAAUGCGUACAACACUUCUGCGCAGGUGGUGGUUUUAGGAAGUGAAGAAAAUCCUGGAGAUACAGAGAGCAAUUCAGCUUCAAAUUUGUGUAAUGACGGAAGGCGGAGCCAAGUUGUUCAUGGUAUGUUCAGUCUAUGACCUCCACCCUAACGCUGUAGUGCAGAAACAGUUUACUCAAACAAUAAAGGGCAAGAUCAAUGAGAAAAAAGUCAAGGACUGUCAUCACACACUGACAAGAAUUAAAAGUAGGAGUUACACCCCUUUGUGACCAAGGGUCACCGAGGGAGAUAUGCAAAAUACUUUCUGAUUUUGACAACAUAACCAUAGGCUGAUAUUGUGUUUUAUCCAAAUGUGUGUUUGUCAUAUUUUAUGUAGAAUUUAUCUUGUUAGGUUUGUUGUUUUUUCUUGUUGAUCUACUCUUAUAAGACAGAGUUUCGUUUGUUGUUUUAAAGAAAGAGAGAAAGAAAAAUCCUCGACACUCUUGCAAGCCCAAAUGUCUCAACAAUAAAGACAGGCCAAAGGCAUUUUCACACAUUGACUGUUUUUUCAUCUGAAGCAACCCCUUGGCUUGGAUCGUAUUUAAACAUAUGAACACAGCAAUUGUUCUCUGAAGUGGAGCAGAACAAGCAAGCUGAGAUUGCCUAGAAAAAGUAGUCCUGGUAUGCUCCCAAUUGAAACCUGGAGCGGUGAGAGUGCAAUCCACAAUCAAGUAGACUAGUGGUUUUCGAUUACUACUGUUGGUUGGCAUAAUAAUACUGAGAGGCUAUGUAACCUACAUAUCCAUCCAUUCGGCAUCAGCAGAAGAGCUGUUGCCAGGCGUAACAGGACUCUACAACAGCAACUGGUGCAAAGACCUGUUGAGCUCAGAGAGUCUUGUCCAACCCCAUCAGAGGAAUUCAGCCUUCAUUACCAGCACUACUACUUUCAUCAAGCUGGUCUAAUACCUACACAUGCUACUGUCUAAGUUUCUGAGCCGUGUGGCAACACUACUCAGCAGAGCAGUGAGCACCCAUCUUGUUCAUGAACUUGCCCACAAGUUUGUAACUUCUGUAAAUUGGCCUAGCUGAUGAGGCAUUUGACAUCCUUGCUGCUCCAAGUCAACCCAUGAGUCAUUUUCUUGUAGGUUAACUGGCUAAUGUUAGUUAGCAUCUUACAGCCAGGGUUUUGGUGUAAAUGGUGACCCUGUCAACUGGCAACUUCCCGUCAAAUGGGUCUCUUGCAAAUGUUUUUGGUUGUUCAGCAAAGACAGAUGUGUAUACUUUCACAUUAUCAUACAGUACAAAGAUAACCACGACAAUCACUGUCACGUUUGGUGAAAGGUGCCAGAUUACAAGGUAACUGUUUCAACCGAGACACUAGCUUUCUAACUGCUUGGCAAGAUUUCUAACCAAUUAACACGUUUUACGACUCGAGGACCGCCAUGUGAUGGUCUAUGCUUGUGCACACUCUCCAGUGCUGCAGUGUGAACACAAAACAACCCCCUGUUAAAAAUUAUAACAAUGUGUAUUUUUUUUCAACUGAAACAAAACAUAGUUAACAAGCAAUGGGUGUGAAAGCUGCCUAAUGUUUAAUUCUUUAACAUUCUUGUUUUUGUUUUUCAAACCCUGACAAAAAAAAGAUGCAGGAAUGCAGGAACUAAUGAAAAACUGAAUUGAAAGCAGAAAGGAAAAUGACAAGAUUGAAAUGGGACCCAACACUUGGGGCCCUUUAGAAUUUUGGGGGGGCUGCACCUCUGGACGCCUUUGUGGAUAUAGCAUAAUAGAUGGUAAAGUAAAAGCUGCAAAGUGUUUGAGAAAUCAGUUGUUAAGCUGCUAAUUCACUCCCUCUCUGUGUCUCCUCUCAAUCAGGCUCAAUGUGUAAAUUUGAUUGGACCUGUUUGGCAGCAAAAAUCCACAAAAAUAAGUUAUUUAUUAGCCAAGUCAUAACCUUGGGGUCAAUUUUUUUUAAGGCUUCGCCUUUUACCUUUACUGUUCUGAAUAAAACUGCUAUUAUAAUCCCUGUGCUACUAUAGGAGGAGGUGUUUCAAGCCAUGUUGUUUUUGUUUGUGUGUGUUUUGAGGGUGAUCAACUAAGAAGAAGGGUGUGAAUGAACCAGGUGCAAAGGCUGCUGGGGAGGAGGUGGUGUUUAAAUUAGAGUUUGCAUGUUUCUGCUGUAGAGAGUUUGGACAGAAAGUAGCUCGAGUGGCAGCAGGUGCAAAACGAAACUCUGCUCGAUGAAAAGUACCAGUGAAAGAGGAACAGAACAUUUGUGUGCCUAUCUAAAUAGUAUUUUUAGGAACACGAUAGGGGAGACAAGUGAGAAAGCACACACUUUUGGUAAAACAAGAACAACAAACUAAAUCAAGAAAAUAAACGGGGGAAAUGGUUCAUAAUUCCUAAGCAUUUAAAUAGGCCAUCUCCAUUAAAAUCAACAGAGAUCCUGCAGGACCACAAUUUGAUGCACAGAGUAGAUAUAAAGUCUGAAGCUCUUGAAGAUGGAUUGUCAUCUGUUGUGCAUGAAACUGUACCAGCUAUUUCCUCCAUGACACUCAUACUGGACAGCUAGUCAGUGCUGCACCUGGCCCUGUUAAUGUCCAUAAAUGCCCAGCAGGAGGAAAAACAAUGUACCUGCAGAUGUGGACUUUAUAUUCAAGCAGGCCGACAACUAGGAAGAAGAAAAGAUGUAAAAGAGACUAAACCAAAUGUAAAAUGUAAUAUUGGGAACAAAGUAAAGAAGUAGGACUUCAAUAUCAAGUCAAUAUCAAGAUUUUUUAGGCUGCACUGGCUGUGAAUUGGCUCUAAAGAUACGACGCAAUGCAGUGUAUAUGUUUAAUAACAAUAACGUUCUUCUCCGUUAAAGAUCAUUUAAUGGCAAUAUUAAAAUGAUCUCAACAUUAUUUAAAUUAGACUGUUGUGUGUCUUUAAUUUCCUCAGCCAUCUGUGCCUAACUCUGGCCACCUGAAUUUGCACCCUCUUUUCCAAAGGUGUGAAAUUUUCACACAGUAAAAACAACAGCAACUAUUUUCAGCCUCAGUGAAUCACUUACUUCCAUUAGCCCUGCAUUCCCCCUUCUAUUCAUUCACACUCAGCUGCAAAUGCUCAGAAAGCACUCAUUGUUGCUGCUCAGGAAUGUACCUACAGAUUAAUGCAGGUGAAUCUAGGCAACAAUGGAAGAUAUGAUAUUAUUCCCAGAAUAGUCAUUAGGCUAUUAGGAAAACAUUAUGUAUCAUUAAUCAUGUCAAACACAUAAUUCCCUCUGGUAAAAGUAAUUAUAAAACGCCCCAGAGGGGUGAGUAUCUGUUCAGACUGGAAUGGUUAGCUCUGGCAGAUUAGUCCGUCUACUGUUGGGCCCAGCUCAGCAAGUACAAUAAUGUGCAAGGCUGCAAGGAAUCUGAAUCUGCAAAGCCAGUCAUCAUCAUCAUCAUCAUCAUCAUCUCUCAGACGAAUAUGGAUGGUGCGUUCAGGACCAUUGGAAUUUUCUAUACUACUUAAAAUAACUGGGGUUACAAUGUGAACAUGUACAUGUGAAGGAUUUGUGUGUGGUGGAGACAAAACGACCCCUGACAAAAAGUGUGGGAGGGACAUCCCUCCCCCCAAACUGACGCCAAUGGUUCCAGCCUAUUAUGCCUACUGAAAUAAAUAUUAUGACACAACAUGGGUAAUGCUGUCUUGUAUGUCUUGGAAACAUUUGACUAACAUAAUAAUAUCUGAGUAUGGCCCUCUGAGUAAUUUGGUAUGACCCAAAGUUCAGCCUUUACAUUUAGUGCAUUGUUGUACUUCAUUUGUGUUACAUCUGAAGGUUAAAUACACCUGUCAUUGUAUUAUACAUUCCGCACCUCUAAUGACUGUUUUUUUCAGGGUGUUACCCACACAGUUCCUUCAGAGGGGACUUACUGCCACAAGGUUUUAGACAUUAUGCAAAUGACAGAGGAUUAUAAUAUCCUGAUCAUUAUGCCUGUAAUGAACUCUUGAGCUGGUUUUAAUGUCUAAUGACCAGCAUUUAGAAGUGAAGGGCAUAGGCACUUACAAAAUAAAGGACAUGAUGUAUUUUUUUAUAGCUCUACAGACAUGACUUAAAAGGACUUCAUUGCUAGCGGCUGUGGGCUGCAGUAAUAUUUUAAAAUUAGCCCGCAAGUGAAAGAAGGAGUUAUAGGUACAGGCCUUUUCAUUGCCUUGUUACCAUGACAUCUCCUUAUAGGUGCAGUGUGGAGUACUUAACAGCAUUUAGCAGAACAGACUUGGUAGAAAUGCAAUAAUAAGUAUGUUUCAGUUAGUGUACAGUCACCUGAAUAUAAUGACUUUGUUUUUGAGAACUUUGAAUGAGCCAUUUAUAUCUUCUUGGGAGUGGGUCCCUCUUCACUGAGGCAGCUGUCUCUCACUCCCAUUUUCUCUUUCAUAGUAUAGAAUGGACAAACAUACCCGUUUAAGCAUUUAGUGAGUGACUGUUAAAAAAGCACAGACUGGAAGACAAAGGAGAACAAAGUGGCUGUUUCAACAAAUGGAUUGAUAUCGAUAGAUGUUUUUGAGAGUCCAAAAUUUCACAAAUGGAGUGUCAUACAUAUAAUGUAUCAAAGGGGCUUUUUGUACUCAAAGACCAUUUUUGCUUAGAGAACUUCAACAGUGAGAAGGGUGAGCAGAGGGAGUGUUUCAACCUAAAAUCUGAUCAUUAGAUGUUGCUGAAUAUUUCUAUUUCUGCACACUGUACUUAAAAGUAAUGACCUCUUAGAUGUCAGACCUGAAAUUCUCCUCUACCUUAGCCAUGUAAAUGGGGAAAUUCUCACCAAAUCAACAACCCCCGACACUGCAUUGUUUUCUUUGCACACGUAUGUUUCAUCUAAUAUGUCUUGCCAAAAGCACUGACAGAAACAGGAUGCCAGAUCAAAAGUUAAAUUGGUUCUAAAUAGAUCCUCUGGGAAUGUACAGACUCUAAUUAUCACUUUUUUCAGUGAAUGUAAUAGUCAUUUUAUGUGCUCACUUAAAAAAUACAUACCCUAUUCAUCAUUUCAAUCCUCUAGUUUAAGUUUUCUCCAAGCCAGGCAUAAUGAUUUGUCUCAUAAAUUGAGUCCAUGAAUUUCAAGUUUAACAACUUUUAUGACUACUUAUAACAUGUUAAUGCAUUGCAGUUUCCGAACCCAAAACAACCACCUCUUCUAAAGCAAGUGGAUUCUUUUGGUUUUCUGUAGUAAAGCACGUUUUCAGGACUAUGGGGUUCAAUCAAAUUGCUUAGGUUCAAGUUGUCCUGCGUAACCAUGGAAAACCAAGUUCAGCAUCAUAUUUCUUGAAAGCUGUUGUAUUUGUUGUCUGUCUAUUCAUGUUUUUGUCUGAUUCCAAUGCUUUAAAGAUAUAUUCCGGCAUAAUUUUAAUCUAAUUUUAAAGCAAUGGUCAACCACACCGUAACACUGAGUUAGACCCCCCCUCGAGAGUUGAAUGUUGCUGACUGCUUGCUUCUCUAGUUAUACCAACUUUAGUAACGACCGCAAGAUAGCAAUACACAGCGGUCUACGUCUCCAUGCACAAACCUCAACCAAAACAUCACUAUAUAACAUCUUUUUAGCUUCUUGUGCAAAGAGACCAAACACAACUCACCCAAUAUACCAACAUGAAGCCCUUCUUCAAUCUGCCGUCAGCAUUUCUGAGAUCUGCAAUCUCACAAGUAAACUGCUGUCUGUAUUCAGAUCCUGGGCCCUGUCUCCCUCACCUGAACACUGUUACCAGAGCUGGACUUGCCUUGUGAGAUUGACCCUGUGUAAGUUCAGAUUGUGCUGAAUCUGAAGUUCCUCCUAAGUUUGAUUUCCACUUAGUAAUGAGAUGACACAUCCAUACUGCCAGCUCUCCACUUAGGUGUCAUCAAUCCCAAUCAAACUCCAGCACGAUCAAAUCCCUCCAUUCAGCCAGACAGAGCUUUGUGAUUCUGUACAGCUGCUAGCUUGGCAAGGUUUUUCCUGUGAAAUAGAUUUUUUUUUGCUUUUUUACUUGAUUACUGAUUAAAAAAGGUAAAUAUAAUAUAAUCCCAAAUACUGCGUCACAAAGAGCCUCCAAACCAAUAAGAGUCAUUCUCUAAUUUUACAUUCACCUAUCCAUGUACUAUGUUUUCUUGUAAAGACUGUCUCUUUGGCUUUUUGGUUUCUUUUAACAGCUAUGUUGGAAAUUAUUUAUAUAUCAGUAGAACUUAUUAAAAAAUGUGUCAUUAAAAAGUUAUUUUAAAAAUAUGCAUCCAAGUUCAACAACAGAGAAUCUUCUUUCAAACAUUAGCUGUUCUUUACUGGUAAAUAAUAGAUGGACGGCAAACAAUUCCUGGGGUCUUUUUCAUGUUGAUAACAACAGGACUUGAAAACGUUCUUUGACCAGGCUAUUGAUUUCUUUAAAACACUGAAUGAACACGCACACAACAUGGAGGUCUCUGAAGACAAAGAAAAACAAAAGAGUUCAUAUUGAUUGAUGCUUUUGAUGUUAAAAACUUGACAAACGGAGGAUCAAACCUAUCAUGCAUCAAAGCAGCUUCCUGUCCAAGAAGCCCACUAUUGCUUGUGGAGCUUUUUGGCGUAAGUAUGAAAGCUUUUCAGUCCAAACUGACUACUAGAUAACACCAAGUUUCCCCAGCCAAUUAUACCAAGUGUGUACAAGAACAUUACUGACUUAUUUACCCUUUGACCAAAAAGCUUCAGUCUAUCAGAGACCAGACUUUAACUCACCUUGAAUAAUGGCACAGGUAUGACCAGAUAUAAAGCAUUUGGAGAAGUAGAUCAUCGCAAUUGUUGUAGCUCUGUGUCCUCUUCAGGGAGUUCCGCUGUCAUCUGACCUUCCCUCACCAGUCUCCUAAUAAGCAACAGGUAAUAUGAGGUGCCUGGGUCUAUUCUGAGUCCAUCCUCCUGUCUAACAUGCUGUUUAGUUUGGUUGCUGUACAAAGGACAACUCUUUUGAACCCAUAGUUGUUUUUUUUAAUUAAUUUGCUUUGUUUCCUUUUAUUGUUGGCCUGUGGUUCCCUGUCUCAUGUCAAAUACUAGUUUAAAGCCUUGGUGUGGUGAGUAGGGAGGCUUGUUUAGUGGCAUGCUCAUCUUUUUAAACGAAGGAUACUAAUUCUGGGCCUGCAGUUAGUCUGCUGCUAUUUUGCUGUUUUCAAUGACGAUGAUUGGCCUGAAUUAUUGAAACUUUCAGGUUAGCCUUUUUGUCAUUAGGUUUCCCCUUAACAUUUUUUUCUGAUUGCAAGAUUUGCUAUUCUCCUUUCUGAAUAGAUUUGUUUCAUUUUAGUUACUGUGUUGCACCUUUUACCUUGACUAGUCUGAACAGCCUUACCCCAAAUUUCCACCACACACAGAACAGCGGCAAAAAGGCUGUCGACACCAAUCACUGCCGACCGCGCUUAUCAUUUCCAUUCAAGUUCAUGCAUCAAUUUCCAUCGGCUUCUUUCCAGCCCCCUGCAAUUCAGCAGGCUUCAUAGACGGGUUUCUAUUUUGCAGCAUGCCGCAUAAAUUCAGCACAGAUUAGCCUAUGUUUGAAAGGAAGUCAGGCAGAGACACAAAGUAAAACAGCCAGGUUCUUUUCAAGAUAAUGUGUUUCAGAUACGUAUGUCACACCAUGUUCUUGUGAGUCUUUGUAAUUCCUGCUGUCUGAAAUUCGCCAUAAAAUUUGCCUCAAAAACAUCUCUGCUAGGAAUUGGCAGAUGGUAAAAAUCGCCGCUGUUCCAAAGUAAAUCUGUUCCGAUGCAGUGAAAAUUGGGGGUUACUGGCUAGACCCACAGGGUCCUAAACAGCUCCGCUCCGGACCGGCAGGCAGAUCAGAUCCGCAAGUCUACAGCGCCCACCGGAUCCGAUCCGCCGCCAUAGGAGGAGAAGCGCUCGCAAGAUUACCAAUAUUUCUUGCGAGAUGGGACGAGAUCUCAUGAGCUCACGCAUGUUUCUCCGGGAGUCAUAGAAUGAGAUCCGUCGAUCAGCGUAUAUAAAUGGCGGUGUAUAUAAACACCCACAUCCCACAACUCUGGCCUCUACUAUUAUCAAGUUAACAACAGUUCAAUGUAUUGACUUUAUUUUGUUUUGAAAACUAACCAGGUAUUUUACUAUGUAACCCAAUACAACUUCCGCUGCUGCUUGCGCUGCGCUGAAUUGAUGCGCCAUGCUCCAGGAUCCGGCAAAAAUGGAAGCCUUGUGUAUCUGACCCGGUCGCCGGAGCUGAUCCGUAGUGGAGCCAGAUGCCGGAUGGAUUCUGUGGAAUGGCUCAAAUUGAUUAUAAUGCUUGCGGAUUUGAUCUGCUGGCCAUGCCGGAGUGGUGCCCUGUGGGUUUUGCCCAUUAGCGUCACUUAGUUGGGGGCUCGGCCACCAGAGUGAGGGCCCUCCACCUUUUGCAUGUGAGUUAAGCACACUGGGGCACAUAUCAACUGCACCCCCAUUAUUGUGUGCAGUGUGAGGUUGCAUUACUUCACUAAAGUGAGUCAGUGGUAUCAUCCCGACACUUUAUUUAGUGUAGUCUGCCUCUCACUAGUGGCCUCAGCUUGGUCCAGUCUAGUUUAUUUCAGUUUACUUUAAGCUCCGGCAGUAUCAUGAGUAGGGAUUGCAAGACACACAGGGGACACCUCAGGAUAAUCAAUUGAUAAAUGUUGUGGUGACCAAGUUAAUAAAGCAGAAAGGUGGCAUUACAGCAUAGCCUUACUUCCAGUUUCAGAAAUGAGGUGGAUGGUUAGAAUGUUUAUAAGUGUCAUGAAAUCAUAAUUAAAUUAACAUUUGUGUUGACUUGUUUAUCUUCGCCAAAUAACGAAGCAGAAUAGUUUAUAGUAAACUGGGUUGUUAUGCAGAUGCUGAUCCUGACAGAGUGAAACAAACAGGCUCUUUGCUGAUGUGGAGCUUGUAGAUGCUGAAAGUUGUUCAUUUAAGCAGUGGUAGGGUUAAUGUACCUGAGUAAAUGUGACACUCCCUGGGCAGAGUCUGUGGUUUCUCAAACCUGUCUGCUCUCUUUAUCUGUGUCUACUGAUGAAUCCUUCUGCACCAGCCUUUCCAUUCCUGUCUCUUUAACUGAAAGCUGAUGAAUUAACAUCCACCUACCCCCUACUGCCGGAGGAGCUCUAAGCACCUUUUCCCCAGUGUGGUUUCCCAUUCACUUAUUCUAAAGUGCUUUAUCAGGCCUGAAGUUUAACUGAAAUAACCUGUUUCUCUUUCUUAAGGCAAUCUAAAGUAGUACUUUCUUAACUCUGCUUGUCUCCUCACUUUCUCAUGUCGACUUUGGACAAAAAUUAGUUUGAAUUUUUUCAACAGUCAUAAUUGUUUCUGUCAGCUCUGUUAGUCUAAAAACACCCGUGCAGUCAACUCACAAUUCUGCCACGGAGGUGAAGAUGACAAAUCAGACAGUGAGUUUAGCAUAAGUCAGUAUUCGUUCACAAUGUCAUUACCACUUUGUUCACCUGGUGUGUCAUUCAAACUGCUCCUUUAGGCCCACUCUUCAGUAAGAGAAAUGAGGAGCUCAAAAGAUGUGAAAGGCUGUUUCCUUGUAUUUUCAUUGUCAGAGGAGGGCACAGAUAAUCCAGAAUUGAACUCAGUUAACCAAUCAGUUACAGACAUCAACUUCAGUAACAACUAAUUAGUUAAUGCCAUAGACUGUAUAUAGAAUGGACGCUGUCUGCCUCCUCACUGGGUGAAGCCUCCAUGAGAACAGCACCCUCUGGUGAUGGGCUGCAGUAUUGGUCAUAAAUCUCACCUUCUCCAGCAAUCCCUAUGGAGCUGUGGACAAACUUUAGGAAUUAAUUACACAGAAUAUACAUUUUUCUCCCCCCUGGUUGUGAUGUUGACAUGUAGUUACAGUAAGACUGGUUUGUGCUCAAGUCCUCUUUUCCUGCACAGCUCUAUUUCUAAAAGUUAUUAGGGGGUUCAUGUGUAACUCACCCCUUUCUCUCUUCCUCUUCUUCCUCGCGCAGCUCGACCCGGACUUGUCUCUGUGUCCUCUCUCCCUGUCCUGCUGCAGCUGCUGCUGCGGCGGCUGAACAGAUGAUUAGUUUCAGUGAUCAGAUGAGUUAUUUACUUUAAGCCUACAUACAAAUAUUAUAAUAUUCAGUUUUGUGGGCCAAAUUUAUUUUAUAUGCCAGCAUCUGUGAAAGAAAGAGCCAGGCCACGGAGCGCGAUGCGUCCUUUACGCACAGAUGGUUCCGAUUUUAAUGUCAUUUUUGGAAUUUAUGAUGUGAUCUCUGCGCACAACCCACCUUUGUCACGUGAGGUUUGAAUAUGUGCAACUUUAUGUGAGUGUCUUUAUUCGUGGAAAAGGGUGUUUGUCUUACCAGUGGGUCCAACAUUACACACACCAAAUCCAUCUGUGCUUAUAUGAGAGAGAGUGAAGGACGCCCUCUGCAGCGUUUACAGCGACACUUGUUGAGGGGCUGCCUUCUGUCGCCAUCGUGUGGCAUUACUGUCUUCAGACAUCUCUUGAUCUCUUUGACUACUUACGCCGCGCCUGCGCCACAUCUCCGUGCGAAGCACGAAAAUGGAGCCCAUUAUGUAAAGUAGAAUAUAAAGUAGCUAUACUAGAGAUGCAUGAUCGAUUUUUUCUGAUCCAAUCCGAUACCGAUACCUGGGCUGGGCAUAUUGGCCGAUAUCCAAUACCGAUCCAAUACUACUGUUGAAUGAAUGAACUGUAUACCUUGCCCUGUAAGUGAAGGCAUCAGGCUUAACAUUAGACUUGUUAAAAAAAAAAGUAACAAAUUAACACAGAUAUUAAUUUACUUAAUAUUAUUUAUGAACAAAUAACAAAUUGCACAUUUGCACACAGCAAAAAGACGUAAGACUUCCAUGUAAACAUUUAGUGCAAAAGGAUAGACAGACGUAGAAUACAAAGCAAACAGAAUUGCUGUGAUGCUGUGUAUGAUAAUAAUUAAAAGACUGGAUUGGAACACUGGAUCAGCGUCAUUCAUCAGAUAUCCAAUCCAGUUAACUUGUCAAUAUUGGAGCCGAUAUCUGAUCCAAAUACCGGGUCAGUGCAUCCCUAACCUAUACCUUAAAUAGGUUACUAAAUGGAUACAAAUAAUAUCUGAAUGCACUAGGCCUUCACUUUGGCAGAGCUUGAGAGGAAAAACUUGAGAAAAAGUUGUUGGAGUCUCUGUCAACAAAGACAGUAGUGAUACCUCCACAGGUCAUUUGAGCACAGAGAGCCUCACAGUUUAAGUUACUGAGUAGAACUUUGUGCUCUACAAAAAAUAGUUUGGGACAAGCAUCAUAGAAGUAGUAUCCCCUUUCAUUGUUUUGCCGAUGAUGUACAGGUGUAUUUGCCGGUGAAGGCACCUACUAAAGACUCGCUCCAGGCUGUGUUUAACUACAUGAAAGACAUUAAAACAUAGAUGGACCUCAACUUGCUAAAACUAAACAAAAACAAAACAGAGGUUGUCCUGUUCGGCCGUCCCGAUCUGGUUCAGGUCCUUGCCAGCUCCCUUGACCCAUUAGCACCAUACAUAAAAUCCCAUGCCAGGAAUCUUGGGUUCAUUAUUGAUGGUGCCUUCAAACUGGACAAGCAGGUCAGUGCUGUGGUCAAGUCCAGCUUCUUUCAACUGAGGCUUUUGGCUAAGAUUAAACCAUAUCUCAACCAGAGAGACCUCGAAACAGUAAUCAGUUCUUUUAUUACUUCUCGCUUGGAUUACUGCCAUUCCCUUAACUUUGGCAUUGACCAGGCUGAGCUUAACCGCCUGCAGCUCGUGCAGAACGCGGCAGCUCGUCUCCUUUCUGGCACCAAGAAGCGUGAGCACAUAACUCCAGUGCUCUCUUCUCUACACUGGCUUCCAGUUAGGUACAGGAUCGUUUUUAAGAUUCUUUUAUUUGUUUUUAAAUCUCAGAAUGGGCUGGCCCCAGAGUACCUGGCUGACCUUGUUAAGCUACACCAACCCUCCAGAGCCCUUAGGUCUGCUAACCGAGUCGUCUUAAACGUGCCUCGUUCUUUUUUAAAAUCCAGAGGGGAGCGAGCGUUUGUGGUUGCAGCUCCCACUUUGUGGAAUGCACUACCCCUCAGUGUGCGUUCUGCAAAUAGUCCCUCUACUUUUAAAACCCAACUGAAUACGCACUUGUUCACUUUAGCUUUUGGCGAAGUAUGAUACUUGUAUUGGUUAUAUAUUCGUUUUUGUUUACAUUUAUAUGUUACAUGUCUUUUGUUGUUGCUGUUUGCUGUGUAUGACUUGCUUUUAUUGCUACUGCUUUGUUUUUGUAAAGCACUUUGGUAGGCCACUGGCUGUUUAAAUGUACUAUACAAAUAAACUUGACAUUGACAUUGACAACAAAUGCACAUGGAGCUAAUAAAAAAAAUUAGAGGAAAAAAGAACACAUGAGAAUGUACGUCUUGUAGUCCAGUGUACGUGAUUAAUUCAUACUUUCAUGAAUUACUCACAUGAGUGUGAUUCCCUUGUCUGUGCACUCUGGCACAAAUCCUAUGCCACACACACACACACACACACACACACACACACACACACACACACACACACACACCUAGGUGUGCGCACACACACUAAAAAGGGAAAACUGUUAUGUUGCUGUACAUAUUUUCACCUUAGGCACAGAAUGUGUUUCACAAUUCAGUCAGAGCAAACAUGAGCUUCAGAUCAUCCUACAUUCUAUGACCUUCAACAAAGAAUGGACCUCAGAGGCUCAACCUCUUUUUGUAGUUUUCCUGUUACCAAGGGGAGGAGAGAGUGUCUCCCUUCACUUUAAACAGUACUGACUCAAAUGUGUCCACAAAGGGUCUGUUUAGGUCCACAAACAGAAGUGAGGAGAGGCUUUCUGUGCUCAACAUGUUGCUGCGCUUGACCUGCCUGUCUGUAAAUCUUUUUCUGAAGCCUUCCUGUAUCAGGACCAGAGACUUUGCAGCCUAUCCAUUUAGCGGCCAUGGACAGUGAGUUCAUGGGAAACUGAGCUGCACUUGGUGAUCGACUUGUCAGGGCUCCCCCACGAUCAAGCGUCUGCUGGAGGAGAGUGGGUGAGUGCAGCGGAGUUUCACAGCUCAAGUAAGGAUAUUUAUGAUUAUUCCUUCAUGGAAAUGCAAUCGGGGGCAGCACAGUGGUGUAGUGGUUAGCACUGUCACCUCACAGCAAGAAGGUCCCGGGUUUGAAUCUGGGUCAAGGUGUUUCUGUGUGGAGUUUGCAUGUUCUCCCUGUGUCUGCGUGGGUUUACUCCGGGUACUCCUGUUUCCUCCCACAUCCCAAAAAUAUGCAGAAGUGGGAUUAGGUUAACUGGCCACUUCCAAAUUGCCCAUAGGUGUGAAUGUGAGCGUGAAUGGUUGUUCGAUGGAUGGAUGGAAAUGCAAUCAGACCAAGAUGCUAAGGCAGAAGAACUGCUGCAUCUGCAGUGCAAAAUAAUUAUUAUGAUGAUUAUUACUUCAAGGAAAUGAUCUGCUGCACUCGGUGAUUGACUCGUCAGGGCUCCCCCACAUACAAGCGGCUGCUGGAGGAGAGGGGGUGAGUAGUGUUUGGUCUCCUUGCUUAUGAAACCAGGCAAAGCUAAAAAGAUGUUUGAUGGCUAGUACUAUGACUGGGACCCUAUAUGUACUGUUGAUGAAGUUAGGUGCUGUUCUGAGCAUUAUUUGUGGCUAUAAAGUGGCUUUUUGGUUGAGGUUUGCACAUGGAGACAUAGACCACUGUGUAUUGCUAUCAUGCGGUCAUGACUAAAGUUGGUAUAACUAGAGAAGCAAGCAGCCGGCAACCUUCAUCUCUCGAGGGGGUGUCUAACUCGGUGUUACGGUUUGUUUGACCAUAACUUAAUUUUACACCAAAAUAUCCCUUUAACUGUAUUUAGGCAGAUACUCGUUACUGAGGUACCCAUUGGAUUCUCGUUAACUAAUUCUUAUGAACAGGUUGGUUCUUCACAGUCAGAGGGGGUCUUUUCUUUUAUGCCUGUGGGAAAUGUUUUAUACAGCUCUCUUCACAAUAUUUCUGUACCCUCUUGGUAUUUAGGCUCAUAAAGCAGUGUAGUUAUGUCUUUGACCAAAGAGAAACAUUACCCAAAAGAAGUCCUUGCAGAAAGUGCAUUUUAAUGACAUCUGAUUUAUUAACUGUAAAAUGUGCUUAUUGUACAAUGAAAAAGACGAAGUGGGUGUGAUCUAUUUGACUGUUUUAAGACAAAAAGGGAUUUUUUUUACAGAGCUACGCAUGUUCAUUACUAAAACAGCAAGGAGAUCAGAUAACUUCUUUUCAUUAAACAUAUGUCAUAAAGAGCGAUGCUUCCCAUUUUUCUAAUUAUUCAGAGAUCAAGUGGUUAAUGCAGGAAUAAAACAAUGACCAAAUAUAAGUAUAUCUACAUUAAAAUUUAUCUAGAGGCUCAUGAAAGGGAAAACUUAGAACUUGAUCUGCAUAGACACAAUAUCUAGUCUCCUGGCAACCCCAGCUUCCCUGGCUGUUCAGUAAUAACCCUUGAGUUUGGCUCAACUAUAGGUUGACUUCUGCACCUCUGGCCACUGACAACUCCUUUAACCUGCCUGACCCAAUAUCUCUGGCAAAUAGUGCACCCCAAGGGCUUCAAUUCAUCUGAGCAUCCCAUGUCCCUGAAAUACCCUGCUCUCCACCUGCAACCAGCACCACUGAUUCCACAGGGAUCAAGCACAAGCAAAGAAAAGUAAGCAACAGAGUGAAAAGUUUGAAAUUCAGGGAAUAUAUUUCCCUAACCAUCCUGUGCAUGAGGUGAAAAACUAAAAUUUUGAAAACUUUGCACAGUGCUGGGACUUCCUCAGAGGAAGAACAUGACAAAAACAGCCAUCUCUUGUUUUCGCUUUUACUUUUAUACCACCUACAUGUUGCAAUUCUGUCCAGAGCCAUAAUGAAGUUCAGCCAUUGUCACACCUUCAUGCAUUGUACUCAGCAACGGGGUAACACUUACAGCAAAGUUCCAGUGUGUGAUUUUACACUGCAUUACAGCUUUGUGGGGGCACAGGGGCCAAAAUGCGUAAACAGAGUCUUUUCCACACUGCAAUACUGCAACAGCCCCAGAACUAGAUUUCACCAUCCCCACAUCUCCCUGUGAAAAAAUGAAUACUGCCAGAGUGUCAUGAUGGUGCCCCUGUGUGUGAUUUCACAUUGUGUUGUAGUGUUGUGCAAGAAGCUCCGAUUGUAAACACACAGUGGGAGUGUCACAUACACACAGUCUGACAGGCACUUAAAUGUAUCACCGUUCUGUCAGAUAACUUCAACACUGCACAUUACUACCAUCUUCAUCUUAUUGGGUCUCUGUUGAAAUUUGCUUCUACUUAGUUUGUAUUGCACUUUCCUGUAUCACCUGCCCAGUACAAAGUUUAGAUGAGAUGGAACAGUGGUGUUAAAUGGUGGUAUGUAAGAGCCCACAUACACACAUGCAAGCACAGCCCAGAUAUCACACAUAUGUUGUCGGCCUUAGAACGGCACGCCAGCCUCCAGUCUAUAAUGUUUGACAAGCAUCGGCCCAAUAGCGGAUUAAGUGCUCUAAUGUCCCAGCUAAUUAAAUGUCUGCGCACGGUCGUUUUUUCAGCUGAUCAGCUGACCGACCUUGCCUUCCAGUUUGGACAGUCACCUGAUGGCAGUCACCAUUACAUACCAUUAAAUGCAGAGGAACGCAGAGGAAAAUGCACCAACUCUUCGCCAUUGUUUUUCAGGUAAGCUGCUGACGUAAAUUGGCAAAAAAUAACUUUUAAGGCAAUUCUGUGACAGUUUCUAACAACUGAGUAUGCCCAGUCUCCUCCCAGAUGCAAACUGACCGGUACCUACAGGUAAGCACUCAAGCACUGGACUGCUUGUCCUGGUGCUGCUGUUAGCUCUGUUAGCUUUUAGUGUAGUCCGUUGUUCAGCACAAGAUUUGGCGAUAGCUUCCUAGCUUCAGCGAACUGUGCAAAAAAUUUAACCUUCCAAAUUCUCACCUAUUCCAUUACUUCCAGGUCCAUAACUUUGCUAAAUCAAACAGCACCUGUUUUCCUAAUAUUCCACCUAAUUCAGUCAUUGACUCCAUUUUGAACAUUCCCACUAAUCAAAAAGGCCUCAUUUCCAAAAUUUACACUCUAAUUUCUCAUCUGAGAGAGACAUCUCUGGAUAAAAUGAGGACAGAGUGGGAACAGGAGCUUGGCAGGACUAUUAAUGACAGCGACUGGGACUCAGCCCUGACCCGGAUCAAUAACAGUUCGUCUUGCUCCAGGCUUAAUCUGAUACAAUUUAAGGUUGUUCAUUGUAUCUAUUUUACUAAUUCCAAAUUGUCUAAGAUCUACUCCAGUAUCACAGAUAGCUGCAACAAAUGUCACCUGUGGCCAGCAAACAUGACCCACAUGUUUUGGUCCUGUCCCUGUCUGCAAGCCUUUUGGACAGCUGUUUUUAAACAUCUUACAGAAGCACUUAUCAUAAAACUGAUGCCCUGCGCAGAAUUGACUAUCUUUGGAGUACUACUCCAAGAUGUCAAAAAAUCGAGAAAAAGAUUAAGGAUAGCAUCGCCUUUGCUUCUCUUCUAGCACGCAGAAGAAUCUUAUUAGAGUGGAAGUCACCAUCUGCCCCCAAAGCCUCUGUCUGGACCUGAUGCUGCACUUAGACCUGGAAAAAAUUAAAUACAAUUUGAGGGGGACCCCUGAAAGAUUUGACCUGGCUUGGGGCUACAUGAUUAGUUACAUCGCUAAAUUAAAGACACUGCAGGAUAAAUUUCACCUAUCUGGGGAUAGGUGUUGGGGGGGGAUAAAUCUACCCCACCCCAACAAUCUGGGAAUUCAACUUCUAUUGGUAUGACUCCUUUUCCCCUUUUAUUUUAUUUUAUUUUAUUUUUUUCUUUCUCUCUGAGUAUAUGUUUAUUUGUUUAUAGUACACGUGAAGGAUGAGUGGUAGUACUGCAACAAAUAUGUAGGAUUGGAUUGGGGUUGGGUGGGCAAAAGGGAUUUAUUUUUAUUUCCUGCUGUUUGUCAUUGUUUGUUUGUUUUGUUGUGUUGUUGUUUAUGGAAAAAAGGGGGAAAAUCAUUAUCUUACCUAAUUGUAUGUAUCCUUGGCUGUCGAAUGAAUAAUAAAAACAUUCAAAUAAAAUAUUUGGCGAUAGCUGAUCUCUUCCACUCAGUCAAUUAGGUCUGAUCGUUAAAGCAAAUGAAACAGUUAAAACUAUUGAAGGUACACAUUUAUUUUUACUAAAUUCAUGUGAUUAUCCCGGUUAUGUGCGCCAUAUUUACUGUACAGCUUUGACCUAUAAAUAAAGAUUGUGCGCUACAACUUUGAUUAAUCGUCCAAAUUUCGUGUGUCGAUCAUUUAAGAUCAAAGGCCAACGUCUUUGCGACAUUGUGGCAAUAAGCAAACGCUCUCCUUGCGACAUCUUGGCGAUGUAUUGGGCUGACGUCGGCUUGAUGUACAUUUGCUAUCUGGGAGGUAUGCACACAACACAAGUGCACUCACCGGCAAACAAUUUUAUUUCACCAAAUUUGAAUUCCCAUCUUAAUGAAACCUACUUAAGGAACGUCAGCACUGGGUAGCUUCAAAAUCCCCCAUGGGGAGAGGACACUAGAGGUAGCUGCUGAUGACUGCUACUGUGACUGAUGAUGAGGCUGAUGAAACUGACAAAUCCAUUUACACCGUGUGGUUAUGGGGAGAUGAAGGGGGAAAGAUAUCAGCAUAAACCAACCAAAGGUAGGGAGAGAAUCAUAUUCAAAAUAAUAACAAUAAUAAUAAUAAUAGCAGCAGCAAGUGAAUAGGCCAGAUCAAGCACAACUCACAGCUAAAAACAAUGAAAACCAUGAGUGAGCAAGCACAAGAGGUGUGAUUUGCAAGAAAAUGUGAUAUACAACUGCAGGCCAAUGGAUAAGAAAGUAUUCCUCAACAAGCCCCAUAUUAGGUUUUUAUUUACUGAACAUUUAGACUUUAUAAGAAACAGCCCUUUCAAGGAUGUACAAGCAGCUUUGAAGAGAGACUUUGUUCCUUUUGAAGAGGAGGAACAACAACUGUGGAUUAAAGAGAUGGCAGGGGGGCAUUUCUGCUAUUUUCUACUGCCAGGGCUCUUCACCAGAGGUGGAGGGAUGUAGCUGUAAAGGCCAGCAGCAAGAGGCCUCUCCUUACAUGUUGAACUGUAGGGAUGUUCGCUUCUUCUAGUGGAGUGGUGACCUCCAGGUGGCCUUAAAUUCAAUCUGUGGAUUAAAUAAGGAACCAUUUUUGCUGUAACAAAGGUAUACACAUAUGUAGCAGGGCUCACUUCAAUCAUGUCGUGGUAGAUUCUCUACUAUGCAGCAACACUUCUAAAGCCAUCUUCUGUGCCUGUAAGUGAUGCGCAUGAUGGUAAACAGAGGUAACAGAGGACAUUACAAUGUAUAGCUUCAAAAUGCAACAAUACCAGACUAAAUGUUCAACAAUAGAAAUCAAUGUUGUAGGGUAUUGGAGAGAUUGACAUUUUUAUGUUCCUCAGUGUGAAGUAAGGAGAUAAACUCAAAUUUGAGUUACUACAGUGCAAAAAAAGGAGUCCCUCCUAGACUUCAGUUAAAAACUAUUCAGGGUCAAGGUCAGAUGACCCACGAUGAAGUACUAAGAUGUAUUAUUAAUGAGUUAGUAUUCAUGAUCCGUUAACAAACUUUAUAUUAUCCCUAGGUCUUAGAUAUCUUUUUGGAGGUCUGGCUUCUCAUCCAGUGAGGAAAGAGAGAGGCAGCAAGGUUCGCCCCAUCUGACCAAAAACUUCUUUAUCCCUGACCUGAAGUCAGACUUCACACACACACUACUGCCAGUACAAUAGUGUACUUUCCUUUCAAUCAAAAUUCUGGGAAUCUGUAUUUCAUGAUGAUUCACCUCCAUUGCUCCAAAAUUACUGGGAGAGAUCCAACUCCCUCUGAAGCCCAGGGCGAUCUUGUGCCAAUCAGUAGCUUUUGGUACAGGCAGAGAUCCAUCCACUGCAGUGUCCCUAAUGUCCCUGGUAACAUCUGGCACAUUGUCUGCCACACUGGAGGUGCCCAGCCUGUAAUGAGAUGCAUUGGUGUUAUUAAAGUCACAGAGGGUCCUUGGAAUAUGACCAUUGUGCAAUCUGUAGUAUCAAAAUUACAAAUCAUCCUACUGGCUACGUAAAAAUGAUGAAGGGUUUCCUAUUUUCAGGAGUCAAAAUAAUUGAGUAAAAAAGUAUAUAACUAGGUCAAUAGCCAUUUGUUGGCAGUUCAUUGCAAGAAAGCCUUGACAAAAAAAAGUCUGCAGCUUCCUAUUGUUAGCAAGCUAAGUACGCUUACUUAAAAUAGAUACUUGUGACGAUCAGCAGGGGAAGAGAGUUUCCUGAGGUGAUGUUAAAUGUUGAUCUACAGACUGGUUAUACACACUUUGAUUUCACACAUACUCAAGGCAACUGUGAAAAAAUCAUCUACUGAGGUCUUUCUGCAAUUAGUCUUUGAUUCUUUAGAUUGUAGAUCUGAAUGCAACUUGAACGCAUUCAAAAUGAAUAGAGUAAAAAUAGAGUAAAAACAGACUAUGUAGAACAAAGCUCCUUCCAAAAGCUGUCUCAUCAAAAAUGCUCUUUGGACCUGAAGAUCUCAGACAUCCACAGUCUCUUUUCCCCAUUUCACAUGCACAGCAGGGCUAAUGAUAGCAUAAGUGCUGUUUUUUUUGUGUUAUUAAAGCAGAGUAAUGUGUCUCACCAGCUUCCACAACCUAAUUUGACUUGAUUUGUUCUGAGCAAUUUCCACAGAUUUUGUCUUCACUGAGCCAAGAAGCACGUUGUUUCUGAAAAUAUCUGUUGUUAGCCCUUUGGUUGCUUCUUCUUGCUGUUAUUACAAAAAAGAAAACUUUUGUCAGUUUUACUUCAACAUUAAAAGCCUAUAUGAGCAUCUUGAACAACCUCUCUUAGAUUAUCUGAAACCUACUUUUUCCAGCGCCUUCACCACUAUUGGCAACAGGAGGCGGUAUCUGCAACCCACAGAAGUUGCUCAAGUAGUGCAGCUCCUCCAGGCAUAUGCAUAUGCACUGUGGUCAGAAGGUUUGCUCUGUCUCCCAGCAUGUGUGAAAAUCAUUGAAAGACACUGGGAGAUAAGCCAGUACACCAUGAGAUGUGCAAGGGGUCAUGAGGAUCCAGCAUCGACAAGUGGGGCCUGUGCCCACAGCCUGGCAUCAUAAAGCCAACAUCCUGCUACCUGCAACAUCCUCCAGUUUGACCAGUUUGGUAGUGGGUCAGUGAUGCUCUGGGGAAGCAUAUCCUUAGAGGGCCGCACAGACCUCCAUGUGCAACCAGAAGUACCCUGACUCCUGAUAGGUACUAAGAUGAAAUCCUUUGAUCUCUUUUAAUACUAUAUGUUGGUGCAGUGGACCCUGAUUUCCUCCUGGUGAGUGUACAAGCACUUCCAUUUUAAUUUAUUUAGGAUAGCUCCUUGAAAUGCAGCAUCUCGUCUUGGAGGGGGUCCCAACACAGUUACAAAAAACAAACAGUACAAUAGUACACAACAAAAACAAAACACACUGCUUUUCCGCUUCCACAGCCCCCACACCCCCCACACCCCACCCACCCCAUCACUAGCUUACAAAAAUAAUGCUCACACACAUACACAUAACCCUGUGCCCAUACCAUACAACAUCAGGAGCAACAGAAUGCAACAGCAAUUUUGAAUUACGUAAUCAAACGAAUAAAACACAAAACAAAAUUAAAAAUAUGAACAGCUUGUUCAUAAGUGGGAAAAUAAAUUUGAUCUCAAGAUAGAAAGAGGAAGGAAGAUUCCUCCAAUCAGAUGGGGCUUUGAACUUGAAUGACCUGCGACCUAUUUCAUUAUGGAUUUGUGUACUAUGGAGCUGUAUACUGGACCAGAAGCUGUUUUUAAGUAUGAUGGGACGUAUAAGUGGAUACAUUUGAAAAGGAGUAAGACCUGUUGAAACUGACGCCUGGAGUUAGGAUAAAGCCACUGAAGACCUUGUACAUGUGGCGGUGGCGAUUUCUGAAUGGACAUCUCAAGACAUUUCUGCAUAAAGAGUUAUUUAAAAUAUGGAGAGGUUUGAGGAUAGAGUCAGUCAGCAUAAUCGAGUAUGGGAAGUAAUAGUUGUGGAAUUCCACUUUUCCUGACUUGAAAUGAAAAACAAUUGAUUGAACGGUGGAGAAAACCCAGACAUCCCAUCCAAAGUCCAAGGUAUUUAGAUAUAUUAACUCUCUCUCUAGUAGAGUUCCAUCACUAUAAUUAAUUAGCAACUUAGGUGAGUGUGAUAAACCAUGGUUUGCAGCAAAUACCACAGGACUUUUUUUUCAUAUCAAGAACAACCCUGUUGUUAUUGAUUGAACCAGUGUUCGACAGUAUAAAAACUUGUUUCAGGUUAUACUGAAUUUGUGAUAUUCCCGGAUUGGAAAAGUUAAUAACAGUGUCAUCAGCAUAAAAAUAAACAUGACAGGUUGCUCACAAUUAAGGUAGGUCAUUAUUAAAAAUGGAAAAAAAGAAGUGGACCUAAUAUAGAGCCUUGUGGAAUACCUGUAUCAAUUAACAUUCUACUAGAUGGACAGCCAUUGACAUAAACAUCUUGAUGCCUUUUGUGAAGAUAACGGGCUCUGUUUUUGUACCUCGCCGGUGGCAUGGUGCGGACAUGGCGUAACUCAGGUUCGCCGCACCAAUAUCCUGUUUUCACCAAGCACAUCAGCUCCUCUCCUCACCUUUAGAUCCACCACCGGCAAGGCGUAUUACAAUUUUCGUAAAGUAGUCGAAGAGACAACCUCAACAAGUGUCGCAGAAAGCGCUGCGGAGGGUGUCCUCCAUACUCUCUCAAAUAAGCACAGAUGGAUUUGGUGUGUAUAACGUUGAACCCACUGGUAAGACAAACACCCUUUUCCACAAAUAAAGACACUCACAUAAAGUUGUAUAUAUUUAAACUCCACAUGACAAAGGUGACAGAUCACAACAUAAACAAAUUCCAAUAAUGGCAUUAAAAUUGGAACCACCUGUGUGUAAAGGACGCAUUGCACUCCGUGGCCUGACUGUUUCUUUCAUAGAUGUUGGCAUAUAAAGUGAACUUUGUUCAAGUAACUGAAUAUAAUAAUAUUCAUAUGUAGGCCUAACUCGGGAUUGAAUAUUCACAGAAUUUUAAGGAUGUGAGAACAUCAGAUAAAAUAGAUGAAAAAAGAGCCCAAUAGUUGAAUCAGAUGACAGUGAUCUGAUUUAUUCCAAUGUGAUGGAGUUUGUCAAGGAGAAGAUAAUGUUCAACUAUGUGGAAGGCAUUUGAAAGCUUAAUGAAUAUUGCACCUGUAAAUUGGCCAAUGCCAAACACUAAAAGCAAGUCAUUUGGGAAUUUAGGAAGAGCUGUUGUAGAGAAAUUGGGUUGAAGGCCAGCUUGAUAUGGAGAUAAAAUGUUAGCUUGAGUUAAGUAAUGAAAUGAUUGAUGAAAGAUAAGUUUUUCAAAGAUUACAGAUAUUAUAGAAAUUGGUCUAUAAUUAUUUAAUUCCUGAAUGAUGACGGCAUGGAUUCUAUUGUCUUUCCCUCCAGUUCCCCUGACCUGAAUCCAAUCCAGUACUCCUGGGACAUCACGUAGCAUUGUAUCCUCCGCCACCAGUUGGCAUCACAGAUGGUCUAGAAGCUGACUGAUGCCCUGAUCCUGGUCUGAGAGGAGAUUUCGUAAGAGUCCAUCCAUUAUCUCAUCAGAAGCAUGCCUAGAUGAUGUGGGGAGUGCAUAUAGGCACAUUUAGGUUUGAUUCUGAGUCCACCACUUAUUGGGUUAUUGAUUUUGCUUUCUGAUCAUUCUCAUAUUAUUGUGUUCGCAUUGAACUACAUAAUCAAUCAAUAUUUCUUAACUAAAAUAUCACAUUUAUUGAGUUGUGGGAUGUGUGAAUUAAGCAUUCCUUUUAACCUUUUUUAAGCAGUGUACCAUAGAACAACUACCACCCCUGGGCUUCACUGCUCUGCUGGUGAAGCUCAGGGACCAUCAGGAAACCAUCUCUUCUUAAGAAAAUGAGUGAAAUCAAUGCAACGUCCAGGUUUAAUACAGUCUUUGGAUGCUUCCUUGUGUGGUCCUUUGACUUGGAUCUCAAGGACUAUAAAAUAUGAUUUGAGAAACUCUUAGGACUGCAGUAAAGUAUACAGCAGGAAAUCAUGUUCCAUAGCUAUAAAAGUUAACAUCACAGGUGUUUCAGACAUAAUAGUUCAACAGGGACUGAAAGAAACCUUAAUGUCUGAAAGACACCUGCUCUGCAGAUCCUGACAAGAAUAGAGAAAUCACUGUAAUCUUCUCAUAAUAUUCCCCAGGAAAAUAAUAGCUUGCCUGAGGUGGUCGAUAAUAUCCUAACAAUGAGCAUGUUGUAUUUUGUGAUAUUUUUAUCUCCUGCGGUGUUAGUUUAGUAGUCAUAGAAUAUCCCCACGGGGAAUUAAGCGCCUGCAGUAAUCAAUAGUAAGUGUGCUAUGACCUGACUGUACAGACUGCAGGCAGAGUCAGUCUCAGUCUUUUUUUUUCUCUUACUACCCUGGCUCUCAAGGGGAAGCCCCUGCAAGGGCUGGUGAGGGGGGGAGGGGGGAGCAAUAUUCUACAACAAGGAUGAUACCUGACGCAGGAUGUCAUUUUUUUUUUUAGAGUUUCUUCUCUCGUCCCACUGCACCAGACUGGCAUUGAACACACACGCAUAGAAGUUUUCAACUCACAAUAAACCCUCAGUCCCUCCCCUCUACAGCAACUUCAAAAAUACUCAGAAACAAGUCACAAUCACGACACACACACACACACACACACACACACACACACACACACACACACACACACACACACACACACACACACACACACACACACACACAAACCAGAGAGGAUAAUCAUAGGGAUAUUAAUGGAGCUGGAGAAACAGAUGGAGUCAAUUGAGCUUUUAAUAGACCAGAGAAGCUCCUCGUCUUCUGUAUGGAUAAAUAACACAAUAGUCAGCAAAUCCAAGAUCAAAUAGAUGAUAUUGACCUUUCAGGGUAGGACAGGCAGGAGAGAGAGUGAGCAAAGGGACAGCACCAGUAGAAACAGACUGAGAUGCAGAAAGUCAAGAGCUGAGAGAGGUGUGACACGGAGGAAAACACCAAAAAGUCAAUAGAAGGGAAGUGCUCAGACAAAGCAUCUUAAUCAGAGUGCGACAAAACAGCGAUCAAUCAUAAGUAUGAGGAUGGAGCAGCCAGUUGCAGAGCUGGAGAGGCCCUGACCUUAGCUGCACUGCAGAUAGAGCAGAGAGGC